RNAcentral lists this long non-coding RNA (501 nucleotides) under Sorghum bicolor (sorghum). Its description in RNAcentral is "long non-coding RNA (SBIC_LNC008705)". The record is from RNAcentral. Lineage: Eukaryota; Viridiplantae; Streptophyta; Magnoliopsida; Poales; Poaceae.
GCGCAACCACAAGAGCCAACACAAGAGACAUGGCCGGAGGGCCAAGAUCACCAGUGGACAAACCUGCCUUUUCAUACGGGCAGGUACUCCACUGAUCCAUAUGGAGCUUCAGGAUCCAGACCUCCGCCCCAAUUCGAUGCAGGACGAUACUCCAACGCAUCCUACGCUUUCACGAAUGACUACUACCAAGAGGCCAGCGCUUUCUUCAACCGCACCGACAACACUCUACUCGACAUCCAGAAUACGCAAAGCAACAAAAAUGGAACCAGGACCACGCCACUGCAGUACAAGAGCUGAGACAAGAUAUCACAACAAUGAACGACAACAUCACCACCAUGAUGCGGUUCUGGAACAUCGGGUAAGACCGACAUCCACAUCCAGCUUGAGGGAGUUCCUCCCCAAUUUAUCAAGUAAGUUUUUAUUUGCUCUUCUUAUUUAUUCUUUUCUAUUUUAGUGUUUUAUUUAAAGAGAAAAACAUAGAAAACCCAAUGAAUAUUUUCU